This 73-nucleotide transfer RNA is filed under the name Lachnospiraceae bacterium. RNAcentral describes it as "tRNA-Pro". It matches the Rfam family "tRNA". Rfam says of the family: Transfer RNA (tRNA) molecules are approximately 80 nucleotides in length. The record is from RNAcentral. Lineage: Bacteria; Bacillati; Bacillota; Clostridia; Lachnospirales; Lachnospiraceae.
UGGGAUGUAGUGCAAGUGGUAGCAUGCUUGAUUUGGGAUCAAGUGGUUGCAGGUUCGAGUCCUGUCAUUCCAA